Molecule: long non-coding RNA, 1131 nt
Filed under: Marmota monax (woodchuck)
Lineage: Eukaryota; Metazoa; Chordata; Mammalia; Rodentia; Sciuridae
Source: RNAcentral
GUACCUGUUAAUGUCACUUUUUAGUCAACUUUGUACCAGAGGUAUAGCUAGUACAGUAAGUUUUUUAAAAAGCUAUGAGCAUUAAAAGGAAAAAUAAAACUAUCAGUAUUUGUAGAUUAUAUGACUAUGUAUGUGGUUCAGAGAAAUCAACAAAUGAAUUAUUAGGAUUACUCUUGAGUUUAAAUUUGGAUGUAAAAGUCAUUAUGUUUUUAAACCCUUUGCUGGCAUAUGCAGUGAAAAAACCUAUAUAAUUACAAUAAUAUAAAAUGGUAUAUGACUAAAUCUAAUAAACAACAUGCAAUAUCUUUAUGAGAAUUAUCAAACAUCUUUGGCUGAGCUAAAGAAAGAACACAUUAAGUGGCAUAAUGUACCAUGUUCAUGGACGAAAAUUGAAUGUUGUGAUGAUGUCCAUAGGUUCACCGCCAUACAAUCAAAAUAUCUACACUUUGUGGAAGUUGAUAAUCUGAUUCUAAAACUUAGAGGGAAGAGCUAAGAGGGAAGGUAUACUCAUUAAGGAAAGUUCUUCAAAAACUAACUUUUAUGAGUGUCAACAUAAUAAUGGAAAAUUCCACACUUGAUCUGAUAUGACAGAUGAGUUGCAGAAUACAGGCACACUAAAAAUAUUAUAUAAAAUUACCUUCAGGCUAUGUGUAUAAGGCUUGUAUGUAACACAAAUUAAUUUUGUUGUUUAGAUUUGGGUUCUGUCCUCAAGAUAUCUUAUUGUGUGUAUGCACAUAAUCCAAAAUCUGAAAAAAAUCCCAAACAAAUCUGUUUCCAAAUGUGAUACAUUUCUGGUCCCAAGCAUUUCAGUAUAAUCAGCCUCUCUAGGAUAUUCAUAUAAAUAAUAAGAGAUCUCCAAAUUAAAACCACAGUGAGAAAACAUUUCAUAUCACCUACGUUCUCAAAAAUUAAAAGCAGAGUAAUAUUGCUGUUCAUAUGGAUUUGAGACAGCCAUACCAGGUAGAACAUGUUGAGGCUAAUGUAAAUUGGGACAUCUUACACCAUAAUCUUUUUUUCCUAUGUCUUAGGAAAUAAACCAGGUGAUCUAUGCAGUAGUUCAUAUAGCUCUCCUCAUAGUAACAAAACUAAACUAAAAUAAAUACCAUCAAAAAUUCGAUAAACAAAUUGUGG